RNAcentral lists this ribosomal RNA (253 nucleotides) under uncultured bacterium. Its description in RNAcentral is "partial 16S ribosomal RNA". It matches the Rfam family "Bacterial small subunit ribosomal RNA", at positions 524 to 776 of the family's 1533-position model. The record is from RNAcentral.
UACGUAGGGUGCGAGCGUUGUCCGGAAUUAUUGGGCGUAAAGGGCUCGUAGGCGGUUUGUCGCGUCGGGAGUGAAAACAUCCAGCUUAACUGGGUGCUUGCUUUCGAUACGGGCAGACUAGAGGUAUGCAGGGGAGAACGGAAUUCCUGGUGUAGCGGUGAAAUGCGCAGAUAUCAGGAGGAACACCGGUGGCGAAGGCGGUUCUCUGGGCAUGACCUGACGCUGAGGAGCGAAAGCCAGGGGAGCAAACGGG